CUUGGAAUUUGAUAGACUUGCACUUGAUGUCAUAUCACAUAAUUUUACAAAUAUUCGGAUAGUAAAUAUACAAGUUAUUGCGAAUGGGUUUAUUUCCAUUAAUCAAGUGGAAUGACAUAAAUAUCCCGGAUACUUGUUGGAUUUUAAAAAUCCAACUAUUUCAGCCGCUAUCAUCUGGAGCAGAAGUAACAUAAUAGUUAUCUGAUAUUUCUAACUAGAUCAACAGAUAUUUGAUUGAGCCCAGUUGUUAAUCUACCAGCCACCAUGGAACACAGCCAGAAAUUUCAAAUAAUAAUGAUUUGUAUCAAUUUAGAGAUUCCAG
Long non-coding RNA from Armigeres subalbatus, 322 nucleotides. RefSeq lists it as uncharacterized. The transcript has 3 exons. Lineage: Eukaryota; Metazoa; Arthropoda; Insecta; Diptera; Culicidae. The record is from RefSeq and is a predicted model, not a curated record.